RNAcentral lists this ribosomal RNA (545 nucleotides) under uncultured bacterium. Its description in RNAcentral is "bacterial SSU rRNA". It matches the Rfam family "Bacterial small subunit ribosomal RNA", at positions 119 to 674 of the family's 1533-position model. The record is from RNAcentral.
GAGUAACCUGCCCCAGACUCUGGGAUAACUCCGGGAAACCGGGGCUAAUACUGGAUAUCACUUCCUGGUGCAUGCCGGGUUGUUGAAAGGGUUUCUGGUCUGGGAUGGGCUCGCGGCCUAUCAGCUUGUUGGUGGGGUGAUGGCCUACCAAGGCGAUGACGGGUAGCCGGCCUGAGAGGGUGACCGGCCACACUGGGACUGAGACACGGCCCAGACUCCUACGGGAGGCAGCAGUGGGGAAUAUUGCACAAUGGGCGCAAGCCUGAUGCAGCGACGCCGCGUGAGGGAUGACGGCCUUCGGGUUGUAAACCUCUUUCAGUAGGGAAGAAGCCACUUGUGGUGACGGUACCUGCAGAAGAAGCGCCGGCUAACUACGUGCCAGCAGCCGCGGUAAUACGUAGGGCGCAAGCGUUAUCCGGAAUUAUUGGGCGUAAAGAGCUCGUAGGCGGUUUGUCGCGUCUGCUGUGAAAUCCCGAGGCUCAACCUCGGGCCUGCAGUGGGUACGGGCAGACUAGAGUGCGGUAGGGGAGAUUGGAAUUCCUGGU